AGAGUUUGAUCAUGGCUCAGAUUGAACGCUGGCGGCAGGCCUAACACAUGCAAGUCGAGCGGUAGCACAGAGAGCUUGCUCUCGGGUGACGAGCGGCGGACGGGUGAGUAAUGUCUGGGAAACUGCCUGAUGGAGGGGGAUAACUACUGGAAACGGUAGCUAAUACCGCAUAAUGUCGAAAGACCAAAGUGGGGGACCUUCGGGCCUCAUGCCAUCAGAUGUGCCCAGAUGGGAUUAGCUAGUAGGUGGGGUAACGGCUCACCUAGGCGACGAUCCCUAGCUGGUCUGAGAGGAUGACCAGCCACACUGGAACUGAGACACGGUCCAGACUCCUACGGGAGGCAGCAGUGGGGAAUAUUGCACAAUGGGCGCAAGCCUGAUGCAGCCAUGCCGCGUGUGUGAAGAAGGCCUUCGGGUUGUAAAGCACUUUCAGCGGGGAGGAAGGCGGUGAGGUUAAUAACCUCAUCGAUUGACGUUACCCGCAGAAGAAGCACCGGCUAACUCCGUGCCAGCAGCCGCGGUAAUACGGAGGGUGCAAGCGUUAAUCGGAAUUACUGGGCGUAAAGCGCACGCAGGCGGUCUGUCAAGUCGGAUGUGAAAUCCCCGGGCUUAACCUGGGAACUGCAUUCGAAACUGGCAGGCUAGAGUCUUGUAGAGGGGGGUAGAAUUCCAGGUGUAGCGGUGAAAUGCGUAGAGAUCUGGAGGAAUACCGGUGGCGAAGGCGGCCCCCUGGACAAAGACUGACGCUCAGGUGCGAAAGCGUGGGGAGCAAACAGGAUUAGAUACCCUGGUAGUCCACGCCGUAAACGAUGUCGAUUUGGAGGUUGUGCCCUUGAGGCGUGGCUUCCGGAGCUAACGCGUUAAAUCGACCGCCUGGGGAGUACGGCCGCAAGGUUAAAACUCAAAUGAAUUGACGGGGGCCCGCACAAGCGGUGGAGCAUGUGGUUUAAUUCGAUGCAACGCGAAGAACCUUACCUGGUCUUGACAUCCACAGAACUUUCCAGAGAUGGAUUGGUGCCUUCGGGAACUGUGAGACAGGUGCUGCAUGGCUGUCGUCAGCUCGUGUUGUGAAAUGUUGGGUUAAGUCCCGCAACGAGCGCAACCCUUAUCCUUUGUUGCCAGCGGUUCGGCCGGGAACUCAAAGGAGACUGCCAGUGAUAAACUGGAGGAAGGUGGGGAUGACGUCAAGUCAUCAUGGCCCUUACGACCAGGGCUACACACGUGCUACAAUGGCAUAUACAAAGAGAAGCGACCUCGCGAGAGCAAGCGGACCUCAUAAAGUAUGUCGUAGUCCGGAUUGGAGUCUGCAACUCGACUCCAUGAAGUCGGAAUCGCUAGUAAUCGUAGAUCAGAAUGCUACGGUGAAUACGUUCCCGGGCCUUGUACACACCGCCCGUCACACCAUGGGAGUGGGUUGCAAAAGAAGUAGGUAGCUUAACCUUCGGGAGGGCGCUUACCACUUUGUGAUUCAUGACUGGGGUGAAGUCGUAACAAGGUAACCGUAGGGGAACCUGCGGUUGGAUCACCU
RNAcentral lists this ribosomal RNA (1528 nucleotides) under Klebsiella pneumoniae. Its description in RNAcentral is "bacterial SSU rRNA". It matches the Rfam family "Bacterial small subunit ribosomal RNA". The record is from RNAcentral. Lineage: Bacteria; Pseudomonadati; Pseudomonadota; Gammaproteobacteria; Enterobacterales; Enterobacteriaceae.